This 492-nucleotide ribosomal RNA is filed under the name uncultured bacterium. Its description in RNAcentral is "partial 16S ribosomal RNA". It matches the Rfam family "Bacterial small subunit ribosomal RNA", at positions 29 to 507 of the family's 1533-position model. The record is from RNAcentral.
AGUGAACGCUGGCGGUAGGCCUAACACAUGCAAGUCGAACGGCAGCACAGUAAGAGCUUGCUCUUACGGGUGGCGAGUGGCGGACGGACGAGGAAUACAUCGGAAUCUACUUUUUCGUGGGGGAUAACGUAGGGAAACUUACGCUAAUACCGCAUACGACCUACGGGUGAAAGCAGGGGAUCUUCGGACCUUGCGCGAUUGAAUGAGCCGAUGUCGGAUUAGCUAGUUGGCGGGGUAAAGGCCCACCAAGGCGACGAUCUGUAGCUGGUCUGAGAGGAUGAUCAGCCACACUGGAACUGAGACACGGUCCAGACUCCUACGGGAGGCAGCAGUGGGGAAUAUUGGACAAUGGGCGCAAGCCUGAUCCAGCCAUACCGCGUGGGUGAAGAAGGCCUUCGGGUUGUAAAGCCCUUUUGUUGGGAAAGAAAAGCAGCAGGUUAAUACCCCGCUGUUCUGACGGUACCCAAAGAAUAAGCACCGGCUAACUUCGUG